CGUAGGGUGCAAGCGUUGUCCGGAAUUAUUGGGCGUAAAGAGCUCGUAGGCGGUCUGUUGCGUCGGCUGUGAAAACCCGGGGCUCAACCCCGGGCCUGCAGCCGAUACGGGCAGACUAGAGUUCGGCAGGGGAGACUGGAAUUCCUGGUGUAGCGGUGAAAUGCGCAGAUAUCAGGAGGAACACCGGUGGCGAAGGCGGGUCUCUGGGCCGAUACUGACGCUGAGGAGCGAAAGCGUGGGGAGCGAACAGGAUAGAUACCCUGGUAGUCCACGCCGUAAACGUUGGGCGCUAGGUGUGGGUUCCCUUCCACGGGAUCCGUGCCGCAGCUAACGCAUUAAGCGCCCCGCCUGGGGAGUACGGCCGCAAGGCUA
Molecule: ribosomal RNA, 372 nt
Filed under: uncultured organism
Description: bacterial SSU rRNA
Rfam family: Bacterial small subunit ribosomal RNA
Source: RNAcentral